AUUGAACGCUGGCGGAAUGCUUUACACAUGCAAGUCGAACGGUAGAGGGGGCAACCCCUCGAGAGUGGCGAACGGGUGAGUAAUAUAUCGGAACGUGCCCAGUCGUGGGGGAUAACGUAGCGAAAGUUACGCUAAUACCGCAUACGAUCUAAGGAUGAAAGCGGGGGAUCGCAAGACCUCGCGCGAUUGGAGCGGCCGAUAUCAGAUUAGGUAGUUGGUGGGGUAAAGGCUCACCAAGCCAACGAUCUGUAGCUGGUCUGAGAGGACGACCAGCCACACUGGAACUGAGACACGGUCCAGACUGCUACGGGAGGCAGCAGUGGGGAAUUUUGGACAAUGGACGCAAGUCUGAUCCAGCCAUUCCGCGUGCAGGAUGAAGGCCCUCGGGUUGUAAACUGCUUUUGUACGGAACGAAAAGGUCUCUCUUAAUACGGGGGACUCAUGACGGUACCGUAAGAAUAAGCACCGGCUAACUACGUGCCAGUCGCCGCCGUAA
Molecule: ribosomal RNA, 496 nt
Filed under: uncultured bacterium
Lineage: Bacteria
Description: partial 16S ribosomal RNA
Rfam family: Bacterial small subunit ribosomal RNA
Source: RNAcentral